Macadamia integrifolia is the source of this 1090-nucleotide long non-coding RNA. RefSeq lists it as uncharacterized. The transcript has 3 exons. NCBI's taxonomy places the organism in Eukaryota, Viridiplantae, Streptophyta, Magnoliopsida, Proteales, Proteaceae. The record is from RefSeq and is a predicted model, not a curated record.
CAGGAGGCCAGGAUUAAAGGACCCUAACGAUGAAUGCUUUCCCAAAGUGGGAAGGUGAUGUACGGGCAAAUUCUUACCCUGCCCUUCCAUUCAAUUUAGAAAAACUGGGAGAUUCUUAAUAGGCUCUUGAGUGGUGAGCUAGGGGAGUAGCCCACUCCUCCGAUUGGCCAGAGUGACUAGGUGCCCAUGUCAUCUUGUUCCCCACCAAUUGGCCUGAAACCUUAUCAACAUCAUCAGAAAGGAGUUAUUUAGGAGGCAAAUUAAUCAAGCCUGAUUCGUAAACUACGAAGCAUGGAGCAAAUCUAGGAAGGACAUUCUUUGGAAUAACAGAUCUUCGUAUGAAAGGUGGGAAAUCUCACCAUACUAUCCGAGAUAAGGCUAAAGUGGAAUAGUUUCAAUACAGAAACAAUCUCCAUAUCUACAUUCCCGAUAUAACUCUUAAAGAAAUCAGACUCCUACCUACGAUGGGAAACUACUAAACUGAGACUCUUCAUCAACAACCCCUAGCCCUACUAUAAGAACCCAGGACCUAAGAGAGGCCUAGAAUGAUUUCCAACUGCAACAAAUUAGCGCUAUCUAUGGGAACGUGAAAAAAUUAUCUGCUCAAAACCAUAAACCAGCACAACAAACAUUCUCUGUCUCCUCUAUAUGUGGCUCAGGGAGAGCAAGGAUCAGUGAGAUUCUCCUGUGGAAAUAGUAGGUAUAAAAAAAAACAUUGGAAGGACUGGCCAAAGCUGGAGAUCCUCUGGUGAGGCAACCGAAUGCUGACAUCUUUCCCACACCAUAUAUGGAAAAUUGCCACCUGCUAAGGGACGACAACGUGGAACCGGGGGGCCGGAAACAAACGCGCUACUAAACAACCUGCUGCUACAGUUGUUGAAGAUGAACAAUGUGGUGCGAUGGUUCAUUCACCAAUUCGGACUAGCUCUCCCCAAGGAAGGCUUACCUAUCACACCAAGGAUUGCUCCCUGCCAAGAGUUGGCCUCUAGCCACCAAAAUGGGCGAAGGAGGCCACCGAAGAACGGCAUUCUCAUCCCAAACGAGAAAGUAGGGGUCCAUUUGGUGCUGAGAGAGAGAGAGAGAGAGAGAG